RNAcentral lists this ribosomal RNA (1434 nucleotides) under uncultured organism. RNAcentral's name for it is "16S ribosomal RNA". It matches the Rfam family "Bacterial small subunit ribosomal RNA". The record is from RNAcentral.
CAGGCUUAACACAUGCAAGUCGAGGGGCAGCAUGGUCUUAGCUUGCUAAGACUGAUGGCGACCGGCGCACGGGUGAGUAACACGUAUCCAACCUGCCGUCUACUCUUGGACAGCCUUCUGAAAGGAAGAUUAAUACAAGAUGGCAUCAUGAGUCCACAUGUUCACAUGAUUAAAGGUAUUCCGGUAGACGAUGGGGAUGCGUUCCAUUAGAUAGUAGGCGGGGUAACGGCCCACCUAGUCUUCGAUGGAUAGGGGUUCUGAGAGGAAGGUCCCCCACAUUGGAACUGAGACACGGUCCAAACUCCUACGGGAGGCAGCAGUGAGGAAUAUUGGUCAAUGGGCGAGAGCCUGAACCAGCCAAGUAGCGUGAAGGAUGACUGCCCUAUGGGUUGUAAACUUCUUUUAUAAAGGAAUAAAGUCGGGUAUGCAUACCCGUUUGCAUGUACUUUAUGAAUAAGGAUCGGCUAACUCCGUGCCAGCAGCCGCGGUAAUACGGAGGAUCCGAGCGUUAUCCGGAUUUAUUGGGUUUAAAGGGAGCGUAGAUGGAUGUUUAAGUCAGUUGUGAAAGUUUGCGGCUCAACCGUAAAAUUGCAGUUGAUACUGGAUAUCUUGAGUGCAGUUGAGGCAGGCGGAAUUCGUGGUGUAGCGGUGAAAUGCUUAGAUAUCACGAAGAACUCCGAUUGCGAAGGCAGCCUGCUAAGCUGCAACUGACAUUGAGGCUCGAAAGUGUGGGUAUCAAACAGGAUUAGAUACCCUGGUAGUCCACACGGUAAACGAUGAAUACUCGCUGUUUGCGAUAUACAGCAAGCGGCCAAGCGAAAGCGUUAAGUAUUCCACCUGGGGAGUACGCCGGCAACGGUGAAACUCAAAGGAAUUGACGGGGGCCCGCACAAGCGGAGGAACAUGUGGUUUAAUUCGAUGAUACGCGAGGAACCUUACCCGGGCUUAAAUUGCAGAUGAAUUACGGUGAAAGCCGUAAGCCGCAAGGCAUCUGUGAAGGUGCUGCAUGGUUGUCGUCAGCUCGUGCCGUGAGGUGUCGGCUUAAGUGCCAUAACGAGCGCAACCCUUGUUGUCAGUUACUAACAGGUCCUGCUGAGGACUCUGACAAGACUGCCAUCGUAAGAUGUGAGGAAGGUGGGGAUGACGUCAAAUCAGCACGGCCCUUACGUCCGGGGCUACACACGUGUUACAAUGGGGGGUACAGAGGGCCGCUACCACGCGAGUGGAUGCCAAUCCCCAAAACCUCUCUCAGUUCGGACUGGAGUCUGCAACCCGACUCCACGAAGCUGGAUUCGCUAGUAAUCGCGCAUCAGCCACGGCGCGGUGAAUACGUUCCCGGGCCUUGUACACACCGCCCGUCAAGCCAUGGGAGCCGGGGGUACCUGAAGUGCGUAACCGCGAGGAGCGCCCUAGGGUAAAACUGGUGACUGGGGC